RNAcentral lists this non-coding RNA (29 nucleotides) under Mus musculus (house mouse). The record is from RNAcentral. Lineage: Eukaryota; Metazoa; Chordata; Mammalia; Rodentia; Muridae.
UGUAAAGGAAAGUGCCCUGGUAUGGACAU